This 520-nucleotide long non-coding RNA is filed under the name Phoenix dactylifera (date palm). RNAcentral describes it as "long non-coding RNA (PDAC_LNC022653)". The record is from RNAcentral. Lineage: Eukaryota; Viridiplantae; Streptophyta; Magnoliopsida; Arecales; Arecaceae.
UGAAACAUUUUGAAAUUCAUGUAGGGUGAUAAAUGAUAGAGGAUGGGAUGUUUUUGAGAUAUGUUUAGGUGGAUGAAUGAUAUAGGAUGAAGUGCUUUGAGAUUUGUGUAUGUGGAUGGUUAAUAGAUGAUGAAAUUUUUUAAGAUUUUGAAUAAUAGAGGAUAGAGUGUUUUAAAAUCUAUGCAAGCGAUAAAUUAUAGAAAAUAGAAUAUUUUGAUAUUUGUGUCGGUGAAUGGAUGAUAAUGGAUAGAGUGUUUAGAUAUCUGUGCACCAAUGGAUCAAAGACAGUGCUUGUGGUGGACGAAUGGAUUAUAGAUGGAAUGCAUUGAGAUUUGUGCAUGAUGGAAUGAAGCUCUUUUGAGAUCGGUGCGUGGAGAUGGAUGAUUGAGUUCAGAGUAUUUUAAGAUUUGUGUUGGCAAAUGAAUGAUAAAGGAUGGAGUAUUAUGCAUAUGGAUGAAUGAUAGUGAAUUAAGCAUUUUUAGAGUGUGUAGAUAGAUGAAUAACAAAAAGCAACCUCCUU